RNAcentral lists this ribosomal RNA (443 nucleotides) under uncultured bacterium. Its description in RNAcentral is "partial 16S ribosomal RNA". It matches the Rfam family "Bacterial small subunit ribosomal RNA", at positions 338 to 795 of the family's 1533-position model. The record is from RNAcentral.
CCUACGGGAGGCAGCAGUGGGGAAUAUUGGGCAAUGGGCGCAAGCCUGACCCAGCAACGCCGCGUGAAGGAAGAAGGCUUUCGGGUUGUAAACUUCUUUUCUCAGGGACGAAGCAAGUGACGGUACCUGAGGAAUAAGCCACGGCUAACUACGUGCCAGCAGCCGCGGUAAUACGUAGGUGGCAAGCGUUAUCCGGAUUUACUGGGUGUAAAGGGAGUGUAGGCGGCAAAGCAAGUCAGAUGUGAAAACCAUGGGCUCAACCUGUGGACUGCAUUUGAAACUGUUUUUCUUGAGUGCUGGAGAGGCAGACGGAAUUCCUAGUGUAGCGGUGAAAUGCGUAGAUAUUAGGAGGAACACCAGUGGCGAAGGCGGUCUGCUGGACAGUAACUGACGCUGAGGCGCGAAGGCGUGGGGAGCAAACAGGAUUAGAUACCCGAGUAGUC